GAUGAACGCUAGCGGCAGGCUUAAUACAUGCAAGUCGAACGGUAACAGGUCUUCGGACGCUGACGAGUGGCGCACGGGUGAGGAACACGUACACAAUCUACCUUAUACUGGAGAAUAGCCCCCGGGAAACUGGGAUUAAUACUCCAUAGUCUUUAAUGAUCACAUGAGAAAUAAAGUAAAGCUUCGGCGGUAUAAGAUGAGUGUGCGUCCCAUUAGAUUGUUGGUGAGGUAACGGCUCACCAAGUCGACGAUGGGUAGCUGGCGUGAGAGCGCGACCAGCCACACUGGCACUGAGACACGGGCCAGACUCCUACGGGAGGCAGCAGUAGGGAAUAUUGGUCAAUGGACGAAAGUCUGAACCAGCCAUGCCGCGUGGAGGAUGACUGCCCUCUGGGUUGUAAACUCCUUUUAUAUGGGAAGAAACCUCUGGAUUCACUCCAGAGCUGACGGUAUCAUAUGAAUAAGCACCGGCUAACUCCGUGCCAG
RNAcentral lists this ribosomal RNA (486 nucleotides) under uncultured bacterium. Its description in RNAcentral is "bacterial SSU rRNA". It matches the Rfam family "Bacterial small subunit ribosomal RNA", at positions 28 to 511 of the family's 1533-position model. The record is from RNAcentral.